This is a long non-coding RNA of Amphiprion ocellaris (clown anemonefish), 951 nucleotides long. Lineage: Eukaryota; Metazoa; Chordata; Actinopteri; Pomacentridae. The record is from Ensembl.
GAGUAAAAAAAGAAACCUUUUCAGUGGUGCUGAUCGGUUCAGCCACAGCGACGUUGAUUUUCGCCUUAGCUCUGUUGCUUUGGGUUUUCCUUCUGACUGCUGAGAGAUUCAAACCAGUUCCUGAGUGUUGUCCGCAGCCUAAAGGCCUGUUGUCUGCAGCCAACCUGCAGUACACACCUCUGUACAGCCACACAGAGAGACAAACAACACCACUAGAAGGUCCCUCACAGAUGGUUUCAGCUGAAGAUCCUUCGAGAGGCCUGAACUCGCUGAGCCAUGACAAUGAAUUUCAUCCUACUUCUAUUGUAAUUAAUGUCACCACCAACAUCAAGCCCUCCAGUCAGAACAAAGAAAACAUCACACAGGAGAAACAGCAAAAGUUCACCACAGAGGAGAUGGAGCAAAAACUGCAGACAAUAUGGGAGAUUGCUCAAGGUCAGAGUAUUGAGAUGCUCGACUACGACUCAGUCCAGGACUUGUCUCUGCUGCUCGACUCUGCUGGCAACGUCGACAUUUUGAGGAGGCUGGGGCGAUCCUUGGGGGUACCACCUCAGGUUAUUGCCCAUCUCCAAGGCUUCCAGGAGCUUUUCCAGUACCUGCGCACCUCCACCUACACGCUGCUGCCCCAGCUGGCCCAGGCUGCAGCGCUCCUGCCUAAUCAUGAAGUCGUUGCUCGGAUACACAGAGCAGUGGUGAACAAGUGACCACUUAGACCCCAGCCGGGUGUUGCCAUGGCUUCAACUGUUAUACAGUAUUUCUGACCCACGUUGUAUUGUGACACCUUCACCUGAUCAAUGAACGAACCUAAUACUUGCUGGUGGGACCCAGAGACAUUGUUUUUACAGGAGUAACUAGAUUUCAGUGAAAUGUGAUAUCAAUAAUGAAUAAAAAAUGACUGACUUUUUGCAAUUUUUCACCCAUUGUUGCACAUAGCAUGAAGAAUUCUCCAUA